This 502-nucleotide ribosomal RNA is filed under the name uncultured soil bacterium. Its description in RNAcentral is "bacterial SSU rRNA". It matches the Rfam family "Bacterial small subunit ribosomal RNA", at positions 26 to 524 of the family's 1533-position model. The record is from RNAcentral.
AGAUUGAACGCUGGCGGCAUGCUUUACACAUGCAAGUCGAACGGUAACAGGCCGCAAGGUGCUGACGAGUGGCGAACGGGUGAGUAAUGCAUCGGAACGUGCCCAGUCGUGGGGGAUAACGCAGCGAAAGUUGUGCUAAUACCGCAUACGAUCUAUGGAUGAAAGCGGGGGACCGAAAGGCCUCGCGCGAUUGGAGCGGCCGAUGUCAGAUUAGCUAGUUGGUGGGUAAAGGCCCACCAAGGCGACGAUCUGUAGCUGGUCUGAGAGGACGACCAGCCACACUGGAACUGAGACACGGUCCAGACUCCUACGGGAGGCAGCAGUGGGGAAUUUUGGACAAGUGGGCGCAAGCCUGAUCCAGCAAUGCCGCGUGCAGGAAGAAGGCCUUCGGUUGUAAACUGCCGUUUGUACGGAACGAACGGUCGUGGUUAACUACCGUCGGCUAAUGACGGUACGUAAGAAUAAGCACCGGCUAACUACGUGCCAGCACGCCGACGGUAAC